Molecule: ribosomal RNA, 366 nt
Filed under: uncultured bacterium
Lineage: Bacteria
Description: partial 16S ribosomal RNA
Rfam family: Bacterial small subunit ribosomal RNA
Source: RNAcentral
CCUACGGGAGGCAGCAGUGAGGAAUAUUGGUCAAUGGGCGGAAGCCUGAACCAGCCAAGUAGCGUGCAGGAUGACGGCCCUACGGGUUGUAAACUGCUUGUAUACGGGAAUAACGCGCCGUACGUGUAGGGCUUUGCAUGUACCGUAUGAAUAAGGACCGGCUAAUGCCGUGCCAGCAGCCGCGGUAAUACGGAAGGUCCGGGCGUUCUCCGGAUUUAUUGGGGUGAAAGGGAGCGUCGGCCGCAUGGCAAGCGUGCUGUGAAAAGUCCGGGCUCACCCCGGGCCUUGCAGCGCGAACUGGCGUGCUUGAGUCCGCGGCCAGCAGGCGGCAUUCGUCGUGUAGCGGUGCAAUGCUUAGCUAUGACG